This 431-nucleotide ribosomal RNA is filed under the name uncultured bacterium. RNAcentral's name for it is "partial 16S ribosomal RNA". It matches the Rfam family "Bacterial small subunit ribosomal RNA", at positions 29 to 507 of the family's 1533-position model. The record is from RNAcentral.
AACGAACGCUGGCGGCAGGCCUAACACAUGCAAGUCGAGCGCCCUUUCGGGGGAGCGGCGGACGGGUGAGUAACGCGUGGGAAUAUGCCCUUCUCUACGGAAUAGCCUCGGGAAACUGAGAGUAAUACCGUAUACGCCCUGUGGGGGAAAGAUUUAUCGGGGAAGGAUUAGCCCGCGUUGGAUUAGGUAGUUGGUGGGGUAAUGGCCUACCAAGCCGACGAUCCAUAGCUGGUUUGAGAGGAUGAUCAGCCACACUGGGACUAAGACACGGCCCAGACUCCUACGGGAGGCAGCAGUGGGGAAUCUUAGACAAUGGGGGCAACCCUGAUCUAGCCAUGCCGCGUGAGUGAUGAAGGCCUUAGGGUUGUAAAGCUCUUUCAGCUGGGAAGAUAAUGACGGUACCAGCAGAAGAAGCCCCGGCUAACUCCGUG